GUGGGGAAUUUUGGACAAUGGGCGAAAGCCUGAUCCAGCCAUGCCGCGUGCAGGAUGAAGGCCUUCGGGUUGUAAACUGCUUUUGUACGGAACGAAAAGACUCUGGUUAAUACCUGGGGUCCAUGACGGUACCGUAAGAAUAAGCACCGGCUAACUACGUGCCAGCAGCCGCGGUAAUACGUAGGGUGCAAGCGUUAAUCGGAAUUACUGGGCGUAAAGCGUGCGCAGGCGGUUAUAUAAGACAGAUGUGAAAUCCCCGGGCUCAACCUGGGAAGUGCAUUUGUGACUGUUUAGCUAGAGUACGGCAGAGGGGGAUGGAAUUCCGCGUGUAGCAGUGAAAUGCGUAGAUAUGCGGAGGAACACCGAUGGCGAAGGCAAUCCCCUGGGCCUGUACUGACGCUCAUGCACGAAAGCGUGGGGAGCAAACAGGAUUAGAUACCCGGGUAGUCC
This 450-nucleotide ribosomal RNA is filed under the name uncultured bacterium. RNAcentral's name for it is "bacterial SSU rRNA". It matches the Rfam family "Bacterial small subunit ribosomal RNA", at positions 354 to 796 of the family's 1533-position model. The record is from RNAcentral.